UUGGGGAAAUCAUUGUUUGAGGGUGGCACAGACAAGCAGUCGGCUUGGGGUUUGCUCCCUGUGCACAGCUCGAUCAUCAAGGAAAGGCCUCUUCCGGGCCUCAAAGCUCCCUUUGUGAGGAAUGAGGCCCACUGUCGAGGCUCACACAGGCAGCUGUAACCAGGCUGCCCCUCUCUCUGGGUGUUUGUUUUGAUAGAGGUUCAUUUAUGCCAGAGACAAUGCCCGCUCUCUUUGUUCUGCCCCCAGCAGGAAGCAGUGCAGGGAGGGGGACCAGCAUUGUCACACAGCUUCCAAUUCAGGUUUUGGUGGCCACAACAAUGGGGCCUCAAGGGCCACAAAUAAAGAGCCGCUCACGGGGAGCAGGGCAGAGAGACUGGCACAUGUGGACCCCAGCACACCCCAGGUAGAAGUCACCUCCUAACAAGUGCUCAGGCUCACUAUCAAGGGCUUUGAGGGCUCUGAGGUUGGGGAGAGGGAGGCCACCUCCUCUUCUCUUAAGUGGUGCUGGGAGGGAGAAGUAAGCAAGGUCCCCGGGGAUGACAAAGCCUUCCUACCUCUCCUACCAUUUAUCCCAACUAAAGGAGCAAACACUCAAAAAAGCAAGCAAAAAGAAUGCACACACAUGCUUCGUGUUCUAACUUACCAACAGUUGCACAAGGAAGAAAAAAAGUCUAAUCUGAAUUGCCAAAAAUGAACAAUAUCCUUUAAAAUGAAGCCUGGGCUAGAUGGCUGCAAGUGAAUGAAAUGUAUUACCCAACUGCUGCUGUAACACAAGCCCUCUCCUCCCCCUUCUGGGCCUCAUUCAUAAAAAGCCUGCUUCGCCCCAGCAGCUGCAGGAACUGGGACUGGAUUUGUGUUUUGUGCCGGUGUUUUCCAAGACAGAGGGAAACAAUUGAAACAGACAAUCGCUCAGAUACCAACACCAAGUUCGCCUCCCCUUGAGAAGUUUGCUGCAGUCUCCUGGUCUAAUCCAAAUAGGUGGAGGGAGGGCUGGUUUGUGCAACUCAACAAGCUCUGUAAAACACCAAGUCCCUAGAAAUCUCAGAAAUCACCAUGAGAAACGAGAGGCUACCAAACUUUUUAGACUCAGCAGCCUUCUUCAAAGCAGGGCCCAAAUACAAGAGCAUGUUCUAAUUUACCAGGAAUGGUUUUAAUACAAGAAUUACAUAAGAACAGAGUGCAGGAAAGGAAGGGAGAAAUAAAACCAUUCUUGUUGCCCUAAUACCAGAGCAGUCUUCCGGUGAAUUGAUACAUAAAUUCUCUCCAGAGACAAGAUAAUCCAAGCUAUUAACUGUUCCCCUCUCAACUCUUGCAAAACACAAGGCUUCGAAACCUUGAAGGGGGGCAGGUGGAGGGGAAAGCCUGCUAUAUAUUUCUAGAAAAUACCAAAUUUAACACCACGAUCCCAGCCUGCUCAUCACUGCUGGGGAUCAGCCAUUCUGGGAAGGUAACAGCAGCCCUCAGCAC
Molecule: long non-coding RNA, 1467 nt
Filed under: Homo sapiens (human)
Lineage: Eukaryota; Metazoa; Chordata; Mammalia; Primates; Hominidae
Description: HSALNT0225691
Source: RNAcentral